UGAGGAAUAUUGGGCAAUGGGCGCAAGCCUGACCCAGCCAUGCCGCGUGAAGGAUGAAUGCCCUAUGGGUUGUAAACUUCUUUUUUACGGGAAGAAACUCCUGAACGUGUUCGGGAUUGACGGUACCGUAUGAAUAAGCAUCGGCUAACUCCGUGCCAGCAGCCGCGGUAAUACGGAGGAUGCAAGCGUUAUCCGGAUUUAUUGGGUUUAAAGGGUGCGUAGGCGGGAUAAUAAGUCAGUGGUGAAAGCCUGUAGCUUAACUAUAGAAUUGCCAUUGAUACUGUUGUCCUUGAGUACAGUUGAGGUAGGCGGAAUGUGUAAUGUAGCGGUGAAAUGCUUAGAUAUUACACAGAACACCGAUUGCGAAGGCAGCUUACUAAGCUGGUACUGACGCUGAGGCACGAAAGCGUGGGGAGCAAACAGG
This 424-nucleotide ribosomal RNA is filed under the name uncultured bacterium. RNAcentral's name for it is "bacterial SSU rRNA". It matches the Rfam family "Bacterial small subunit ribosomal RNA", at positions 355 to 776 of the family's 1533-position model. The record is from RNAcentral.